UUGAUCCUGGCUCAGGAUGAACGCUGGCGGUAUGCUUAACACAUGCAAGUCGAACGGUCUUUUAGGAGACAGUGGCGGACGGGUGAGUAACGCGUAAGAAUCUACCUUCAGGUUGGGGACAACCACUGGAAACGGUGGCUAAUACCGAAUGUGCCGAGAGGUGAAAGGCUUGCUGCCUGAAGAAGAGCUUGCGUCUGAUUAGCUAGUUGGUAGUGUAAGAGACUACCAAGGCGACGAUCAGUAGCUGGUCUGAGAGGAUGAUCAGCCACACUGGGACUGAGACACGGCCCAGACUCCUACGGGAGGCAGCAGUGGGGAAUUUUCCGCAAUGGGCGAAAGCCUGACGGAGCAAUACCGCGUGAGGGAGGAAGGCUCUUGGGUUGUAAACCUCUUUUCUCAGGGAAGAACAGAAUGACGGUACCUGAGGAAUAAGCAUCGGCUAACUCCGUGCCAGCAGCCGCGGUAAUACGGAGGAUGCAAGCGUUAUCCGGAAUGAUUGGGCGUAAAGGGUCCGCAGGUGGCAUUGUAAGUCUGCUGUUAAAGAGUUUGGCUCAACCAAAUAAGAGCAGUGGAAACUACAAAGCUAGAGUGUGGUCGGGGCAGAGGGAAUUCCUGGUGUAGCGGUGAAAUGCGUAGAUAUCAGGAAGAACACCAGUGGCGAAGGCGCUCUGCUAGGCCGAGACUGACACUGAGGGACGAAAGCUAGGGGAGCGAAUGGGAUUAGAUACCCCAGUAGUCCUAGCCGUAAACGAUGGAUACUAGGCGUAGCUCGUAUCGACCCGAGCUGUGCCGGAGCUAACGCGUUAAGUAUCCCGCCUGGGGAGUACGCAGGCAACUGUGAAACUCAAAGGAAUUGACGGGGGCCCGCACAAGCGGUGGAGUAUGUGGUUUAAUUCGAUGCAACGCGAAGAACCUUACCAAGGCUUGACAUGUCACGAAUCCUAUUGAAAGAUGGGAGUGCCUUCGGGAGCGUGAACACAGGUGGUGCAUGGCUGUCGUCAGCUCGUGUCGUGAGAUGUUGGGUUAAGUCCCGCAACGAGCGCAACCCUCGUUUUUAGUUGCCAGCAUUAAGAUGGGCACUCUAGAGAGACUGCCGGUGACAAACCGGAGGAAGGUGGGGAUGACGUCAAGUCAGCAUGCCCCUUACGUCUUGGGCUACACACGUACUACAAUGCUCCGGACAAAGGGCAGCUACACAGCGAUGUGAUGCGAAUCUCAUAAACCGGAGCUCAGUUCAGAUCGAAGGCUGCAACUCGCCUUCGUGAAGGAGGAAUCGCUAGUAAUUGCAGGUCAGCAUACUGCAGUGAAUUCGUUCCCGGGCCUUGUACACACCGCCCGUCACACCAUGGAAGUUGGUCACGCCCGAAGUCGUUACCCCAACCUAUUGGAGGGGGAUGCCUAAGGUAGGACUGAUGACUGGGGUGAAGUCGUAACAAGGGUAGCCGUACCGGAAGGUGUGGCUGGAUCACCUCCUUU
Molecule: ribosomal RNA, 1476 nt
Filed under: Aphanizomenon flos-aquae CCAP 1401/6
Lineage: Bacteria; Bacillati; Cyanobacteriota; Cyanophyceae; Nostocales; Aphanizomenonaceae
Description: 16S ribosomal RNA
Rfam family: Bacterial small subunit ribosomal RNA
Source: RNAcentral